UACGGAGGGUGCAAGCGUUGUUCGGAAUUACUGGGCGUAAAGCGCACGUAGGCGGCGAUUUAAGUCAGAGGUGAAAGCCCGGGGCUCAACCCCGGAAUAGCCUUUGAGACUGGAUUGCUAGAAUCUUGGAGAGGCGAGUGGAAUUCCGAGUGUAGAGGUGAAAUUCGUAGAUAUUCGGAAGAACACCAGUGGCGAAGGCGGCUCGCUGGACAAGUAUUGACGCUGAGGUGCGAAAGCGUGGGGAGCAAACAGG
This 253-nucleotide ribosomal RNA is filed under the name uncultured bacterium. Its description in RNAcentral is "partial 16S ribosomal RNA". It matches the Rfam family "Bacterial small subunit ribosomal RNA", at positions 524 to 776 of the family's 1533-position model. The record is from RNAcentral.